GCAGAAGCGCGGUCUGUCGCUUGCAUGGCCUCAACAGGCCUGCAAGAGGAAAGUCCGGGCAACACAGAGCAACAUGCUUCCUAACGGGAAGCCGGCGGCGACGCCGGGGAUAAGUGACAGAAAACAACCGCCCGCCUCCUUUCGAGAGGCGCGGUAAGGGUGAAAAGGCGGUGUAAGAGACCACCGGUCGGCAUGGCGACAUGUCGAGCCGCACAUCCCAUGUGUUGCAAGGCCAAAUAUACCGGCAGAGAAGGGCUGCUCGUCCUUUGCCGGGGGGUAGGCUGCUUUAGCCGGCGGGCAACCGUGCGGCAUAGAUAAAUGACAGACACCCUUAUCUAUUUUGAUGAAAGGGGUACAUAACCCGGCUUACAACGCUUCUGUCUUU
This 385-nucleotide RNase P RNA is filed under the name Muribaculaceae bacterium. Its description in RNAcentral is "RNase P RNA component class A". It matches the Rfam family "Bacterial RNase P class A". From Rfam's summary of the family: Ribonuclease P (RNase P) is a ubiquitous endoribonuclease, found in archaea, bacteria and eukarya as well as chloroplasts and mitochondria. Its best characterised activity is the generation of mature 5'-ends of tRNAs by cleaving the 5'-leader elements of precursor-tRNAs. Cellular RNase Ps are ribonucleoproteins. The record is from RNAcentral. Lineage: Bacteria; Pseudomonadati; Bacteroidota; Bacteroidia; Bacteroidales; Muribaculaceae.